Molecule: ribosomal RNA, 483 nt
Filed under: uncultured bacterium
Lineage: Bacteria
Description: partial 16S ribosomal RNA
Rfam family: Bacterial small subunit ribosomal RNA
Source: RNAcentral
AUUGAACGCUGGCGGCAGGCCUAACACAUGCAAGUCGAGCGGAUGAAGGGAGCUUGCUCCUGGAUUCAGCGGCGGACGGGUGAGUAAUGCCUAGGAAUCUGCCUGGUAGUGGGGGAUAACGUCCGGAAACGGGCGCUAAUACCGCAUACGUCCUGAGGGAGAAAGUGGGGGAUCUUCGGACCUCACGCUAUCAGAUGAGCCUAGGUCGGAUUAGCUAGUUGGUGGGGUAAAGGCCUACCAAGGCGACGAUCCGUAACUGGUCUGAGAGGAUGAUCAGUCAACUGGGAACGGGAAACCGGCCAAAGCCCCAAGGGGAGGCAGGAGGGGGGAAUAUGGGACAAGGGGCGAAAGCCUGACCCAGCCAGGCGGGGGGGGGGAAGAAGGUCUCGGGAUGUGAAAGCCUUUUAAGGGGGGAGGAAGGGAAGUAAGUUAAAACCUGGCUUUUUGGAGGUGACCAAAAGAAGAAGCACCGGCAACCUCCGU